AGGGGGGGGCUAUACAUGCAAGUCGAGCGAAUCGAUGGGAGCUUGCUCCCUGAGAUUAGCGGCGGACGGGUGAGUAACACGUGGGCAACCUGCCUAUAAGACUGGGAUAACUUCGGGAAACCGGAGCUAAUACCGGAUACGUUCUUUUCUCGCAUGAGAGAAGAUGGAAAGACGGUUUCGGCUGUCACUUAUAGAUGGGCCCGCGGCGCAUUAGCUAGUUGGUGAGGUAAUGGCUCACCAAGGCGACGAUGCGUAGCCGACCUGAGAGGGUGAUCGGCCACACUGGGACUGAGACACGGCCCAAACUCCUACGGGAGGCAGCAGUAGGGAAUCUUCCGCAAUGGACGAAAGUCUGACGGAGCAACGCCGCGUGAACGAAGAAGGCCUUCGGGUCGUAAAGUUCUGUUGUUAGGGAAGAACAAGUACCAGAGUAACUGCUGGUACCUUGACGGUACCUAACCAGAAAGCCACGGCUAACUACGUGCCAGCAGCCGCGGUAAUACGUAGGUGGCAAGCGUUGUCCGGAAUUAUUGGGCGUAAAGCGCGCGCAGGGGGUUCUUUAAGUCUGAUGUGAAAGCCCACGGCUCAACCGUGGAGGGUCAUUGGAAACUGGGGAACUUGAGUGCAAAAAAGGAAAGUGGAAUUCCAAGUGUAGCGGUGAAAUGCGUAAAGAUUUGGAGGAACACCAGUGGCGAAGGCGACUUUCUGGUCUGUAACUGACACUGAGGCGCGAAAGCGUGGGGAGCAAACAGGAUUAGAUACCCUGGUAGUCCCGCCGU
RNAcentral lists this ribosomal RNA (779 nucleotides) under Peribacillus huizhouensis. RNAcentral's name for it is "bacterial SSU rRNA". It matches the Rfam family "Bacterial small subunit ribosomal RNA", at positions 38 to 803 of the family's 1533-position model. The record is from RNAcentral. Lineage: Bacteria; Bacillati; Bacillota; Bacilli; Caryophanales; Bacillaceae.